UAAGUCUGAAAGGAAAAAAAAAGUGUGUGUGUGGGUGGGGGGAACAGCCCCGGUUGGCCCAUCUUCCCAGUCCUAAUUCCAUUCAGCCCUGGCUUUCUGCUACAUUCCCGUCUGCCUAGUAGCUGAGCCACCCUAGGGCAACAGGUGAGGAGAGAGGAUUCUCCUGUGUCUUCACAUCUUCACUGUCUAGUGAUUGUUUUUCACAACAGUUCUCUCCUGGGAAGCUCUUCAAGAUCCUCACAGGCUCCCUGAGCCAGAGAACCAGGACGCCACCCAGAGUGUUCCCGAGGAGUGUGGAGGGAGCAGGCAGCAGAAGGGCAACAUGGCGACCAAGUAACUCUUCCAUGGCUAAGGGUGGUGAACCUUUAUGCUCUGACAAAUGUGCACCAACGAAAGCACUGAGGGAGUGAGAGCCCCUGGAGCCAGCCAGGUUAACAUUUAAUGAAGUUUGUGGAAUUCAAAAAGCUGCUGCUUUUACGAGCCGUGUGGGAAAGGGAUGCAGGGGUCACGCCUCACCACACCAAGAAAUCCUUCUCUCAGUAAGUUGAAGGCAGUCACAGGUUUCCAUGAUCUUGUGAGAGGAGAAUGCCAUGGGUCAUACUGAACUCAUGUUCCUCAUUCCUGAUUAAGUGUCCUCUAGAAACCUUCUAGCAUGCAUUCCGGUUGAUUACCCCUUACCAAUGUUAUUGUACUCAUCAUGGGUGCAACCAGAAGUUCACAGAGCCAAACCAAUGGGAGCUGUUGGGGAAAUAUAAUUAAAAUCAAAUCUCCUGCCAACCCAGAAAACCUCUCCACAAAGGUAGUAGAGAAAGAAAACAGUUUCCUUUUUUAAAAAAAGGUUUUUUUAAUGUUUAUUUUUUAGAGAGAGAGACAGACAGACAGAAUGUGAGUGGUGGAGGGGGUAGAGAGAGAGGGAGACACAGAAUCUGAAGCAGACUCCAGGCUCUGAACUGUCAGCACAGAGCCCGACGCGGGGCUGGAACUCACGGACUGCAAGACCAUGGCCUGAGGAGAAGUCAGAUGCUUAACCAACUGAGCCACCCGGGCACCCCAAGAAAACAGUUUUCUUACUGAAUAAGCAUUCAACCAGAAUGUGAUGUGCAUCAUAGGCAAUUGGCUAGAGAUUGCAAAGACAAGAAGGAAUCUCACUCUUUUAGACGGCUAGGCAGUCACACAACCUAUUACCGACAUAAUAACCAGUCCUCAAGUUAGAGGACUUAACAGCACCAUUUGUCACUCAAGGUUCAUCCUAGAUUUACCUGGUAAUUGGGGUCACCAUCUGUUAGGUAAUUGGCUUUAACCUAAAGAGAAACAAACUUCUCAGAUCUUUAUGACAGGAGGUGGUUUUGCAACUUGGAGGGAGGCACCUGCCCAGUUAGGCUUCUACCCUCCUACAGAGACUGAGAGAUAGGCCCCGUCUCCCUUGAUGAUGACAUUUCAAAGGGAUUGGUCCCAGAUCAUGCAGAAAGACGUUCCUGAGUCCUAAAGCUGGCAACAGCCUUAGCUUUUUAAAAGGAUUUACAUACAUUUCACAGGGUACCUGGGUGGCUCAGUCAGUUAAGCGUCUGCUCAGGUCAUGAUCUCGUGGGUUCAAACCCCGUGUCGGGCUUUGUGCUGACAGCUCAGAGCCUGGAGCCUGCUUUGGAUUCUGUGUCUCCCUCUCUCUCUCUGCCCCUCCCCUGUUCCCGCUCUCUCUCUCGCUCUCAAAAAUAAAUAAACAUUAAUAAAAAAUUUUGAAAAGGAUUUACAUACAUUUCAAAGAGAUGGAGGAAAGAACUUACAAAUUGUCUGAAGUAAAUGCUCUAAGAAAAGGGAUGCAGGGAGACAUCUCUUAUUUUCAACAGGGACAGUUAAGCUUCCUAUUUUGAAUUUGUAUUUGCCCUCACAGGCAGCAUAGCUUGGCCUCUCUACCUCCUGUUCAUUCAGGGACUCUCCCAUCUUGUGCCAGGCUCUGCAGAAAGAGGCACACGCUCAUCAUUCAUAGCUCAUUCAUAGCUCAUCAUUGCUUUUUGACUUCCAUCUGUCUGAAGGUUGGGCCUGGGGCUUCUGGAAGGGAGUGCCCCACCCCCAUUCUCCACUCACUCUGCCAAGUUGUGUCAUUUUGGUUCUGAGGAAGAUGCAAGUCUUGUGUGAGGGGACCUCACCACCCCACCUGAGGUUGGGGCAGGGACACUUGAAGUGUCGAUGUGUGUUUUAAAUCCUUGAGGACAAGAAGGAAAGACAGGGUCCUGGAUCACCCACAUGCGGGGCAUGGGUGCCUGGUCCACACAGAGGCACACAACUACCCCACCUCAGCAGUAGGAGGCACAUGUUGUAGACCAGUGAGGACGGACCACUGAAAACCACAACGUAGCAGAACCAAGUCAAAACCAAACCCUGCAGCUCACUUGGCAAAGGAUGGAUUCUGACCAAGGGAGGGAGGAGAAAACCCUUCCAAAUCAGUGAGCCAGAAAGGGAGAAACUCAGCCUCACGUUCAGAUGGGUAAGCAGCUCUCCAAACUAGAACAGUUCUCCCUGUACACAGUGUUACAGAAAGAGAAAGACCAGAGUCAUUUUAAUAUAAGAAAAUAGACACCUGCUGUUCUGCAUAUAGAGCUACAUCCGCUGGCACACGUUCCUGCUCCUUCACUCGCUCUUGGGGACUAGUGGGAGGCUGCCGGAUCUGAAAGGUGCGGGGCAAUUGGAACAGGCCAGACACCUCUCAGGUAAGGACAGCACCAUUCAAAACAAAA
Neofelis nebulosa (Clouded leopard) is the source of this 2732-nucleotide long non-coding RNA. RefSeq lists it as uncharacterized. NCBI's taxonomy places the organism in Eukaryota, Metazoa, Chordata, Mammalia, Carnivora, Felidae. The transcript is spliced from 3 exons. The record is from RefSeq and is a predicted model, not a curated record.